Molecule: ribosomal RNA, 347 nt
Filed under: uncultured bacterium
Lineage: Bacteria
Description: partial 16S ribosomal RNA
Rfam family: Bacterial small subunit ribosomal RNA
Source: RNAcentral
CCUACGGGAGGCUGCAGUGGGGAAUAUUGGGCAAUGGAGGAAACUCUGACCCAGCAACGCCGCGUGAAUGAUGAAGGUCUUCUGAUUGUAAAGUUCUUUUCUAAGGGAAGAAGAAAGUGACGGUACCUUAGGAAUAAGCCUCGGCUAACUACGUGCCAGCAGCCGCGGCAAUACGUAGGAGGCAAGCGUUAGCCGGAUUGACUGGGCGUAAAGGGUGCGUAGGUGGUUUGACAAGUUGGUAGCGUAACUCCGAGGCUUAACCUCGGCACUACUACCAAUACUGUUGGACUCGAGUGCAGGUGCGGCAAAUGGAAUGUCUAGUGUAGCGGUGGAAUGCGUAGAUAUUA